Ostrea edulis (European flat oyster) is the source of this 1415-nucleotide long non-coding RNA. RefSeq lists it as uncharacterized. The transcript is spliced from 3 exons. Lineage: Eukaryota; Metazoa; Mollusca; Bivalvia; Ostreida; Ostreidae. The record is from RefSeq and is a predicted model, not a curated record.
CCUUAAGGAAAUAAAAGAUAAAAAUUCCAAAAUACAGGGGAAAUAUUUCCUGUAAUACUUCUUAAUAUUGCGCCCACACUGGCCAUUUCCUCACUUCUUCUGGCAGAAACCAGACAUUUAUCUCAACAUGGAUUAAUUUUUACGAUCGAAUCUCAGACAAAUCCCAAUGUAUACGUCAUGGACCAGUUACCCAUAGCGGCAGACGACAGCUCCACCUCAGCCUGUGGUCCUUGCCAGGCUAGAUUUGGCAAGACAACACGAUGUACGAAGAGGAACAAAUAAAAAUGAAAGAAUUCCAAAUUAUCAUAUAUUGAAUUCAAAUAAGUAAUGUAUUUUAAGGGUGUGAGUGAGAUGUCCUUAUAUUUCAGUGCAAAUCAUGAAAUUUUGUAUAUUUCAGUAAGAAUCACGUGCUUGUUAACAUGAAGUGGAUUAUUUAUAUAAAAUGAUAGAAUUCAGAAUAUUGGAUAUUUAAACAAAACCUAAUGUCGUCUCUUUCAAGUUCACCAAAAGUGUUCUUUAUCAACAUUUAAUAGAUAACUUUUGUUUACAAUCAUAUCUCAAAAGACCAAUUAACUUAAAGGGAGAAAAUUAUCAUUAAAAUCAGAACGUCUACACAUUCUUUGAAUAUUGAAAAAGGCAGGAAUAACAAUGUUGUAAGGACUGCGAGGCUUUAUAAAUUAUGUUAUUAUAAGGAUAUAGAAGAUGAGUUCCAUUUUAUCCUGAAAUGUCCAUUUUACAUCGAUUUGAGAGAGAAAUAUAUUAAUGGUUUCUAUUACACAAAACCAAGUGUCUUUAAAUUAGUUGAGCUCUUUAGUGUAGACAAUAUUAAAGAACUUAAUAAUAACUUGGGGAAAUUCUUAGUACAAGCUGUGAAAAUACGAAGUUUAGCGUUGUAAGUCAUUAAUGUAAUUAUAGUAUUUUUCUAAUAACAUGUGUAUCUCAUAAUGUGAUUAUAUUUUAUUUGUAAUUUCUUCUCCUGUCCACUCACCCGCUGUUACCUUAUACAAUUAGAUAUAUUGUGUGUAUAUAUAUAUAUGUACUAAAUGUAUUGCAAUGAGUUGUAUAACUCAAGGGCAAUAAAGAAAAAAAUACUCCUUUAAAAUAUAUGACUUAUCAUUUAGUAAAUUGUUAUUUGGAUGCAUAAUGUUAAAACGUUAUGUUUUUCUAGUCAAACAUUUCUACUGAACCGGUGUUUAUUGGCAAAAUAUUGUCCCUAGUCUUUUUAAUGUGACUGUACAUAUGUAUUUUUUAUUUAUCAUUUAUUUGAUUUGUAUUUAAACAAAUGACCAUUCUUAUUCCUUCAGGGUGGUUGUAACUGUUAUGAUUUCAUAGAACUAACAAACCAAAUUAAUGUUGCAUUUAAUUUUAACCCAAUCUGAUUGUUUUUCUUCCAUUAAAUGAUAUACACAAAUUUG